Molecule: ribosomal RNA, 643 nt
Filed under: uncultured Actinomycetes bacterium
Lineage: Bacteria; Bacillati; Actinomycetota; Actinomycetes
Description: bacterial SSU rRNA
Rfam family: Bacterial small subunit ribosomal RNA
Source: RNAcentral
GUGGGCACUAGUUGUGUGGACCUUCCACGGUCUCUGCGACGCAGCUAACGCAUUAAGUGCCCCGCCUGGGGAGUACGAUCGCAAGAUUAAAACUCAAAGGAAUUGACGGGGCCCCGCACAAGCAGCGGAGCAUGCGGCUUAAUUCGACGCAACGCGAAGAACCUUACCAAGGCUUGACAUAUACAGGAAUAUGGCAGAGAUGUCAUAGCCGCAAGGUCUGUAUACAGGUGGUGCAUGGUUGUCGUCAGCUCGUGUCGUGAGAUGUUGGGUUAAGUCCCGCAACGAGCGCAACCCUCGUUCUGUGUUGCCAGCAUUUAGUUGGGGACUCACAGGAGACUGCCGGGGUUAACUCGGAGGAAGGUGGGGAUGACGUCAAAUCAUCAUGCCCCUUAUGUCUUGGGCUGCACGCAUGCUACAAUGGCUGGUACAAACGGCUGCAAUACCGCAAGGUGGAGCGAAUCCGAGAAAGCCAGUCUCAGUUCGGAUUGGGGUCUGCAACUCGACCCCAUGAAGUCGGAGUUGCUAGUAAUCGUAGAUCAGCAACGCUACGGUGAAUACGUUCCCGGGGCUUGUACACACCGCCCGUCACGUCACGAAAGUCGGAACACCCGAAGUCAGUGGCCCAACCGCAAGGAGGGAACUG